AGAGCCCAGCACCGAAUCCUUCACCAUCUCGGUGACAGGAAAUGUGGUGUUUAGGCCGUACCUUGUCCCGACACGUCUCUCCUCAAGUCCACUUGAUUGUGGCCCCAGGCCCAGAGAGGGUGUAAGGCCCGUGGAGGCGAGACGUUCGGUACCUGGUGCGUCCUUAGAGUCGGGUUGUUUGGGAAUGCAGCCCUAAGCGGGUGGUAAACUCCAUCCAAGGCUAAAUACCAGCACGAGUCCGAUAGCGAAGAAGUACCGCGAGGGAAGGUUGAAAAGAACUUUGAAGAGAGAGUUCAAGAGUACGUGAAACCGCUGAGAGGCAAACUGGUGGAACUGAAAUGGUCCCGAGGAAUUCAGCCGUUGGUCGUUGCACAGUCUUUGGUGAUUGAUCUAACGACGGCGCCAUUGAAUGACGUUUCGAUCAUCGGUGCACUUUCCUCGCCUGGGCCCGACCACGACCGGUGAGCUGAUCUGUCUGUCGUGCUUGGAAGAUAGCGCCGUCUUCGGAAGGCGUGUUAUAGACAGGCAUACGGAGCAGUCGGCGCACUGGAUGAUAGUGCCUGCCCAUCUGGGCUCAUAUGGUGGUUGUUUUGUUGGCGAGUUCUGAUGUCACUACUUCGGUAGAGUCGUUAGACUCUGUUGGCAUUAUGGCUGUCCUCUAUGAUUGGCACUGUUAAGUCUGUGGUUGUGAAGUAGGUAGUCCACCUGACCCGUCUUGAAACACGGACCAAGGAGUCUAACAUGUGCGCGAGUCAUUGGGUUCACGAAACCUAAAGGCGCAGUGAAGGUAAAGAUCUGUUUUGGCAGAUUGAGGUGGGAUGCCGGGUUACGCGCCCGGCCNCACUACCGGCCCGUUCUAUAUGUCUUUCAUAGGANGNGGAGCAAGA
RNAcentral lists this ribosomal RNA (887 nucleotides) under Thysanozoon brocchii. Its description in RNAcentral is "partial large subunit ribosomal RNA". It matches the Rfam family "Eukaryotic large subunit ribosomal RNA", at positions 104 to 799 of the family's 3401-position model. The record is from RNAcentral. Lineage: Eukaryota; Metazoa; Platyhelminthes; Polycladida; Pseudocerotidae.